GAUAUUGGCGACGGGUGAGUAACACGUGGGCAAUCUGCCCUGCACUCUGGGACAAGCCCUGGAAACGGGGUCUAAUACCGGAUACUGACCUGCCAAGGCAUCUUGGCGGGUCGAAAGCUCCGGCGGUGCAGGAUGAGCCCGCGGCCUAUCAGCUUGUUGGUGAGGUAAUGGCUCACCAAGGCGACAACAGGUAGCCGGCCUGAGAGGGCGACCGGCCACACUGGGACUGAGACACGGCCCACACUCCUACGGGAGGCAGCAGUGGGGAAUAUUGCACAAUGGGCGAAAGCCUGAUGCAGCGACGCCGCGUGAGGGAUGACGGCCUUCGGGUUGUAAACCUCUUUCAGCAGGGAAGAAACGAAAGUGACGGUACCUGCAGAAAAAACGCCGGCUAACUACGUGCCACCAGCCGCGGUAAUACGUAGGGCGCAAGCGUUGUCCGGAAUUAUUGGGCGUAAAGAGCUCGUAGGCGGCUUGUCGCGUCGGUUGUGAAAGCCCGGGGCUUAACCCCGGGUCUGCAGUCGAUACGGGCAGGCUAGAGUUCGGUAGGGGAGAUCGGAAUUCCUGGUGUAGCGGUGAAAUGCGCACAUAUCACGAGGAACACCGGUGGCGAAGGCGGAUCUCUGGGCCGAUACUGACGCUGAGGAGCGAAAGCGUGGGGAGCGAACAGGAUUAUAUACCCUGGUAGUCCACGCCGUAAACGGUGGGCACUAUGUGUGGGCAACAUUCCACGUUGUCCGUGCCGCAGCUAACGCAUUAAGUGCCCCGCCUGGGGGAGUACGGCCGCAAGCUAAAACUCAA
Molecule: ribosomal RNA, 801 nt
Filed under: Streptomyces sp.
Lineage: Bacteria; Bacillati; Actinomycetota; Actinomycetes; Kitasatosporales; Streptomycetaceae
Description: bacterial SSU rRNA
Rfam family: Bacterial small subunit ribosomal RNA
Source: RNAcentral